Molecule: ribosomal RNA, 808 nt
Filed under: Clostridioides difficile
Lineage: Bacteria; Bacillati; Bacillota; Clostridia; Peptostreptococcales; Peptostreptococcaceae
Description: bacterial SSU rRNA
Rfam family: Bacterial small subunit ribosomal RNA
Source: RNAcentral
UUAUUUGAGAGUUUGAUCCUGGCUCAGGAUGAACGCUGGCGGCGUGCCUAACACAUGCAAGUUGAGCGAUUUACUUCGGUAAAGAGCGGCGGACGGGUGAGUAACGCGUGGGUAACCUACCCUGUACACACGGAUAACAUACCGAAAGGUAUGCUAAUACGGGAUAACAUAUUUGAGAGGCAUCUCUUAAAUAUCAAAGGUGAGCCAGUACAGGAUGGACCCGCGUCUGAUUAGCUAGUUGGUAAGGUAACGGCUUACCAAGGCGACGAUCAGUAGCCGACCUGAGAGGGUGAUCGGCCACAUUGGAACUGAGACACGGUCCAAACUCCUACGGGAGGCAGCAGUGGGGAAUAUUGCACAAUGGGCGAAAGCCUGAUGCAGCAACGCCGCGUGAGUGAUGAAGGCCUUCGGGUCGUAAAACUCUGUCCUCAAGGAAGAUAAUGACGGUACUUGAGGAGGAAGCCCCGGCUAACUACGUGCCAGCAGCCGCGGUAAUACGUAGGGGGCUAGCGUUAUCCGGAUUUACUGGGCGUAAAGGGUGCGUAGGCGGUCUUUCAAGUCAGGAGUGAAAGGCUACGGCUCAACCGUAGUAAGCUCUUGAAACUGGGAGACUUGAGUGCAGGAGAGGAGAGUGGAAUUCCUAGUGUAGCGGUGAAAUGCGUAGAUAUUAGGAGGAACACCAGUUGCGAAGGCGGCUCUCUGGACUGUAACUGACGCUGAGGCACGAAAGCGUGGGGAGCAAACAGGAUUAGAUACCCUGGUAGUCCACGCUGUAAACGAUGAGUACUAGGUGUCGGGGGUUACCCCC